This 1014-nucleotide small RNA is filed under the name Histoplasma capsulatum. Its description in RNAcentral is "hypothetical RNA". Lineage: Eukaryota; Fungi; Ascomycota; Eurotiomycetes; Onygenales; Ajellomycetaceae. The record is from RNAcentral. RNAcentral also lists the same sequence under 1 other name.
AAUACCCCGUUCUUGAUAAUCCAGAAAAAGCAAUUUCCAGCGCUGCAAUUUCCAGCGUAGCUCCUGCGGGCUGCUCGCUGCGGGCUAGAACAGGUGGCGACCCUUGGCUUCAGCGACGGCGUGCAAACAAGCAAGGGAUGCGUUUAUUUUAAGAGACUCCUGGCUUGUCGGUAAUUAAAUCCAUGUAACCUCCAUUUUAUUUAUUUAUUUAUUUAUCUUUUUGUAUACAUCUGCUCAGUACGGAGUAUAUAAAUGCAUGUCUAGAUAGAUAAUUGAUAAUUGUUGAAAAAUCCACCUGCCUGCGCAUCUACAGACCUGUGUGUACUGUUCCGUACAACGUACAAUUCGCUCCCUUUCCUAUCUCGCAGACCUCAAAAACCCCACAACCCCCCUACAAUACCCUACUAGCUCCGCCAACCUCCUCCCCUCCCGCUCCUGCUCAACCUUCCACCGCGCCAACGCCUCCCGCAGCGCUGCCCGCGUAGUCUCUGCCUCGUUGUCGUCCCCACCCCCAUCCCGAAAACCAGCACCAGCACCAACACUCUCCCCUUCAACAGCAACAUCCCCAUGCACCCUCAAGAACACAGCCAUCCACGCAUUCACAAGCUCAAAGUCCCUCCUCGUCCUCAGCUGUGCGGUCAGCGCCUCCACGAACGCCACCAGCUCGUUCAUGCCCUGCUUGCGCCCGUUGAGCAGGCCCGGGUCGAGAGAGCGGAUUUCUAGAUCGGCUUUGGCGGGCGGCAGGGAUUUGAGGUACUCGAUGAAUGGCGCGUAGUGGUUGCUGUUACUGCUGUCACUGCUGUUACCGUUGUUGCUGUCGGAGGAGCAUGAGUGGAGGAGGGCGGUGAAAGUUGAGGGUUGCAUGCUGGGGUCAUUGGCGAGUUGGAGCUUGGCGAUCCGGGAUCGUUCGGCCGGCGUGGUCUUCUUGGUUCCUAAGCUGCCUUCUGCUGCUGCUGCUGCUGGUGCGGAGACAAGUUGCGUGGAGGAGUCGGAGUCAGGCUUUGAGAGGGUUGA